UAAAAUUUGCUCCUUAAUAUAAGGGAGGAUAGUUUAGGGCUAGCUCGCACUCCCGGGGCGUCUUACACUCAUUGCGAGUAAAGGCGCACCAAGAGCGUACACGUUGGGACCCGAAAGAUGGUGAACUAUGCAAGGCCAGGAUGAAGCCAGGGGAAACCCUGGUGGAGGUCCGUAGCGAUUCUGACGUGCAAAUCGAUCGUCAGAGUUUUGUAUAGGGGCGAAAGACCAAUCGAACUAUCUAGUAGCUGGUUCCCUCCGAAGUUUCCCUCAGGAUAGCUGGUGCUAAUGAUGACAAGAGUCUCAUCUGGUAAAGCGAAUGAUUAGAGGGCUUGGGGCCGAAACGACCUCAACCUAUUCUCAAACUUUAAAUGGAUGAGAGCCUUGGCUUGCUUAAAUA
RNAcentral lists this ribosomal RNA (397 nucleotides) under Williamsocoris sp. Trinidad 2660. Its description in RNAcentral is "eukaryotic LSU rRNA". It matches the Rfam family "Eukaryotic large subunit ribosomal RNA", at positions 726 to 1097 of the family's 3401-position model. Lineage: Eukaryota; Metazoa; Arthropoda; Insecta; Hemiptera; Schizopteridae. The record is from RNAcentral.